This 546-nucleotide long non-coding RNA is filed under the name Ananas comosus (pineapple). RNAcentral's name for it is "long non-coding RNA (ACOM_LNC005109)". Lineage: Eukaryota; Viridiplantae; Streptophyta; Magnoliopsida; Poales; Bromeliaceae. The record is from RNAcentral.
UGACUAGGGCUAUUAAGUUUUCCGUCCUUAGAUUAAAAGAUGUGUGGUUAGGAUGAUGUGGGCCCCCUAGGGUUGAGUGGGUGAUUGGUUGAAUAGUAUAAUCGAACGGUUGAAAAUGAUAAAAGAGGUAAAUCUAACGGCAGAAAACUUGAUAGUACAAAAUACUUCGUGCUAUUGAUAGUAUCUCAGCCGGACUCGCUCUCUCUCUCUCUCUCUCUCUUUCUCUCUUUAUAUAUAUAUAUAUAUAGUCCGACUGCUAUGCUAUCGAUAGCACCAAACACUUGGUGCUAUCAAGUUUUCUGCCGUUAGAUUAACCCCUUUGAUUAUUUUUACCCGUUAGAUUAUACUAUUCAACCAACCACCCACUCAACCCUAGGGGGCCCACAUCAUCCUAACUGCAUAUUUCUCAAUCCAAAGGCUAAAAAUUCAAUAGUACCAAUAACUUGGUACUAUUAAUAGUAUUCCAGCCUAGUUCUAUAUGUAUAUAUACUGUAUUUAUAACUAAUUAUUUAUAAUAAUUACUUCUUGAAUAAGAUACUCAACACC